RNAcentral lists this ribosomal RNA (484 nucleotides) under uncultured bacterium. RNAcentral's name for it is "partial 16S ribosomal RNA". It matches the Rfam family "Bacterial small subunit ribosomal RNA", at positions 30 to 507 of the family's 1533-position model. The record is from RNAcentral.
AUUGAACGCUGGCGGCAGGCCUAACCCAUGCAAGUCGAGCGGACGAAGGGAGCUUGCUCCUGGAUUCAGCGGCGGACGGGUGAGUAAUGCCUAGGAAUCUGCCUGGUAGUUGGGGAUAACGUCCGGAAACGGGCGCUAAUACCGCAUACGUCCUGAGGGAGAAAGUGGGGGAUCUUCGGACCUCACGCUAUCAGAUGAGCCUAGGUCGGAUUAGCUAGUUGGUGGGGUAAAGGCCUACCAAGGCGACGAUCCGUAACUGGUCUGAGAGGAUGAUCAGUCACACUGGAACUGAGACACGGUCCAGACUCCUACGGGAGGCAGCAGUGGGGAAUAUUGGACAAUGGGCGAAAGCCUGAUCCAGCCAUGCCGCGUGUGUGAAGAAGGUCUUCGGAUUGUAAAGCACUUUAAGUUGGGAGGAAGGGCAGUAAGUUAAUACCUUGCUGUUUUGACGUUACCAACAGAAUAAGCACCGGCUAACUUCGUG